GACCGGGGUGGUACACCUGUCCAAUGGUCACACAGGUGUCUUAAGGCAAGCUCGGGGAGGACAGAAGCCUCCCGUGGAGCAGAAGGGCAGAAGCUUGCUUGAUUUGGAAACUCAGCUCAAAGGCAAACCCAAA
RNAcentral lists this non-coding RNA (133 nucleotides) under Equus caballus (horse). RNAcentral's name for it is "Eukaryotic large subunit ribosomal RNA". It matches the Rfam family "Eukaryotic large subunit ribosomal RNA", at positions 2623 to 2755 of the family's 3401-position model. The record is from Rfam by way of RNAcentral. Lineage: Eukaryota; Metazoa; Chordata; Mammalia; Perissodactyla; Equidae.